RNAcentral lists this transfer RNA (64 nucleotides) under Paracaecilius japanus. Its description in RNAcentral is "tRNA-Leu". Lineage: Eukaryota; Metazoa; Arthropoda; Insecta; Psocodea; Caeciliusidae. The record is from RNAcentral.
AUCAUUUUGGCAGAUUAGUGCAUUGAAUUUAGAAUUCAAAUAAACAAUAAAAUUGUAAAUGAUU